Long non-coding RNA from Zingiber officinale, 245 nucleotides. RefSeq lists it as uncharacterized. The record is from RefSeq and is a predicted model, not a curated record. NCBI's taxonomy places the organism in Eukaryota, Viridiplantae, Streptophyta, Magnoliopsida, Zingiberales, Zingiberaceae. The transcript has 3 exons.
CAAAUAUCGGAUCUUGGCGGCCUUCCUUCGAGGCUGGUGGUCUUCGAGUUAGCAUUUAGCGUGUACGAGGCAGUAAGGAUGUCGACUUCUGCGAGGAAGAGGCUCAUGAGGGACUUCAAAAGACUGCAGCAGGAUCCUCCAGCUGGUAUCAGCGGUGCUCCUCAUGACAACAACAUCAUGCUUUGGAAUGCUGUUAUAUUUGGCCCAGAUGAUACACCUUGGGAUGGAGGUAACUUGUAGUGAAC